Regulatory RNA element from Gasterosteus aculeatus (three-spined stickleback), 45 nucleotides. It matches the Rfam family "Histone 3' UTR stem-loop". Rfam says of the family: The mRNAs of metazoan histone genes lack a poly-A tail. 3' end processing occurs at a site between a highly conserved stem-loop (modelled by this family) and a purine rich region around 20 nts downstream (the histone downstream element, or HDE). Lineage: Eukaryota; Metazoa; Chordata; Actinopteri; Perciformes; Gasterosteidae. The record is from Rfam.
ACAAAGGCUCUUUUAAGAGCCACCCACCCACACGAAAAGAGAUGU